Molecule: ribosomal RNA, 425 nt
Filed under: uncultured bacterium
Lineage: Bacteria
Description: partial 16S ribosomal RNA
Rfam family: Bacterial small subunit ribosomal RNA
Source: RNAcentral
GUGGGGAAUCUUGCGCAAUGGGCGAAAGCCUGACGCAGCCAUGCCGCGUGAAUGAUGAAGGUCUUAGGAUUGUAAAAUUCUUUCACCGGGGACGAUAAUGACGGUACCCGGAGAAGAAGCUCCGGCUAACUUCGUGCCAGCAGCCGCGGUAAUACGAAGGGGGCUAGCGUUGCUCGGAAUUACUGGGCGUAAAGGGCGCGUAGGCGGACAGCUUAGUCAGAGGUGAAAGCCCAGGGCUCAACCUUGGAAUUGCCUUUGAUACUGGCUGUCUUGAGUACGGGAGAGGUGAGUGGAACUCCGAGUGUAGAGGUGAAAUUCGUAGAUAUUCGGAAGAACACCAGUGGCGAAGGCGACUCACUGGCCCGUUACUGACGCUGAGGCGCGAAAGCGUGGGGAGCAAACAGGAUUAGAUACCCUUGUAGUCC